This is a non-coding RNA of Cucurbita pepo subsp. pepo (vegetable marrow), 1170 nucleotides long. The record is from RefSeq and is a predicted model, not a curated record. NCBI's taxonomy places the organism in Eukaryota, Viridiplantae, Streptophyta, Magnoliopsida, Cucurbitales, Cucurbitaceae.
AAACUAAACCGAACCGUGUAUCAUCCCAUGAGGCCCAAUUGAAUUGCCGCGGUUUUGAUGCAUCGAAUUUCCCACAACCAGCAACCGCCGACCAGAGAGGUGGCAGAGCAGAACUUCUUAGAGCGAGUUUUCGUGAGGAAAGGGAAGGGAGGUCGAGCUUGUGUGGUUGUUCUUCGUGAUCUAGGUCGAAGUCCUCGUAUGCAGUAUCAAGCUCUUUCUCUUGCCCGCCAGGUAUGAUUUUACCGUUUCCUCAACUGAGUCUUGAUUGGUGUGUAUUAUGAAUGUUCAAUUUAGCUGCGUAUUGUUGGUUUCAGUGGUUUCUUUGAUUUCUGUAGAGAACUUGCCAAAAUUCCUAUAGCGACUUGAGUAGUGAUGUACAAAAUUCCUUCAAAAUCUGCCAUGGAUUUUCCGUCCUGUAACACUACUACUUAAGUCUCUCGUUCAGUUUCUUAUGCUUCUUUGGUUCCUUAUAGUUAGAAUUCAUUCGCCUGCCUUCUUCGUUGUGCAGGUAAAUAAAUGGUUGGAAAUUAUGAUGAGUCCAACUUCUUGAUUAUGUCAUGUUUAAACAAAUGACAAAUGGUAUAAUUUUUUCUGGUUUCUGGGCAUUGAGUUAUCUCCUGAUCUUUUUUGAACAACCUGUACUCCUCACCUCUUAAGAAGAGAGAGUGUAUGUUUCUUGAUGGUAAAGGCAUAUGAUUGUGCCUAUGAAUUAUCCAUUCAUAAAAAGAAUCCUCCUUCGGUUCCAACGUCAAUUGAUGUAAAAUGGGCUAGCAACUAAAGCGAUCUGCAUUUAUCAUUGAUUGCCAUAAUUUUGGUCAUACUUUGCUUGCCCUGUCCCUAGGAAGAAAUAGCAGUUUUGUUGCUGUGUACCGCUGGUACUGAAUAUAAUUUUCCCACUCUUUUGUCCAUCGAGUAUGUGGUUGGCUGAUCUAUCGUUGGCUGAAUUAUAGUGUGAUUUUAGUCUAGGAUUGAACAGCAUUUUGGGAAGAUGGCAGAUGGCUCCUUUUGUGUCACGAGACAAUGCAACAUGAACUGGCUGAAAACUGGGAUAUCAAAGCCACAGUUCUCUAUGAUCAACCUCCGAGUUUUUCCACAUUGCUUCACUCCAGGACAAACAUGAGUUGUUUUGUAGGCUACAUAAUGAUAUAAUUCAGCCUCUUGGUCUUCAAG